Molecule: ribosomal RNA, 502 nt
Filed under: uncultured Actinomycetes bacterium
Lineage: Bacteria; Bacillati; Actinomycetota; Actinomycetes
Description: bacterial SSU rRNA
Rfam family: Bacterial small subunit ribosomal RNA
Source: RNAcentral
UUAGCGGCGAACGGGUGAGGAACACGUGAAGAAUCUGCCUUCAACUCUGGGAUAACUCCGGGAAACCGGGGCUAAUACCGGAUAUGAGCCUUGAUCGCAUGAUCGGGGCUGGAAAGUUUUUCGGUUGAAGAUGACUUCGCGGCCUAUCGGCUUGUUGGUGAGGUAAUGGCUCACCAAGGCGACGACGGGUAGCCGGCCUGAGAGGGCGACCAGCCACACUGGGACUGAGACACGGCCCAGACUCCUACGGGAGGCAGCAGUGGGGAAUAUUGGGCAAUGGAGGAAACUCUGACCCAGCGACGCCGCGUGAGGGAUGAAGGCCUUCGGGUUGUAAACCUCUUUCAGUAGGGAAGAAGCGAAAGUGACGGUACCUACAGAAGAAGCACCGGCUAACUAUGUGCCAGCAGCCGCGGUAAUACAUAGGGUGCAAGCGUUGUCCGGAAUUAUUGGGCGUAAAGAGCUCGUAGGUGGUUCGAUACGUCGGAUGUGAAAAUCAGGGGCU